This 737-nucleotide long non-coding RNA is filed under the name Rattus norvegicus (Norway rat). RNAcentral describes it as "long non-coding RNA NONRATT009842". The record is from RNAcentral. Lineage: Eukaryota; Metazoa; Chordata; Mammalia; Rodentia; Muridae.
GGAGGAGCCGGAGCUGAGCCGUACUCCGCUGCAUCACGUGCCGGGGUGGGGGCUAUAAAAUCCUGGAGCCGGGGCUCCGGGCGGGGGACGUGAGGACCAACCCUCUCCAGGGACCCCUUUGUUCGAAUCCCAGUACACCUCAGCAUCCCCAAGGGCUUGACCGCCCGCGUACGCACAGCUCUCUGGACAGAGCUCAGAUCACGGAAAGAGAGGAGGGGACGCCGCGGCCCGCUGGACAAGCCAUCGAUCCCCCGUCGAAAUGUCGCGCUCCUUCUACGUGGACUCACUCAUCAUCAAGGACUCCUCGCGGCCCGCACCCUCGCUGCCGGAAUCGCACCCAGGUCCGGAUUUCUUCAUCCCGCUGGGCAUGCCGUCCCCGUUGGUGAUGUCAGUGUCCGGGCCUGGCUGUCCGUCCCGCAAAAGCGGCGCUUUUUGCGUGUGCCCGCUUUGCGUCACCUCGCACCUGCACUCCUCUCGCCCGCCCGCUGGAGCGGGUGGCGGAGCUACGGGGACCGCAGGGGCUGCGGUGGCGGGCGGCGGGGUGGCUGGAGGCACGGGCGCCCUACCUUUGCUUAAGAGCCAGUUCUCUCCCGGUCCUGGGGACGCGCAGUUUUGCCCACGGGUGAGCCACGCACACCAUCACCACCACGCUCCCCAACAUCACCAUCACCACCAUCAGCCCCAGCAGCCCGGCUCGGCUGCAGCGGCGGCGGCUGCGGCGGCUGCGGCAGCGGCCG